Molecule: ribosomal RNA, 305 nt
Filed under: uncultured bacterium
Lineage: Bacteria
Description: bacterial SSU rRNA
Rfam family: Bacterial small subunit ribosomal RNA
Source: RNAcentral
UACCUACGGGGGGCAGCAGUGAGAAAUAUUGGUCAAUGGCCGGAAGGCUGAACCAGCCAAGCCGCGUGAAGGACGAAGGUGCCAAGCAUUGUAAACUUCUUUUGUCAAGGGACAAAAUCAGGCUCGAGAGCCUGACCGAGGGUACUUGAAGAAAAAGCAUCGGCUAACUCCGUGCCAGCAGCCGCGGUAAUACGGAGGAUGCGAGCGUUAUCCGGAUUUAUUGGGUUUAAAGGGUGCGUAGGCGGAAUAUCAAGUCAGCGGUAAAAAUUCGGGGCUCAACCCCGUCGCGCCGUUGAAACUGAUGU